Molecule: ribosomal RNA, 474 nt
Filed under: uncultured bacterium
Lineage: Bacteria
Description: bacterial SSU rRNA
Rfam family: Bacterial small subunit ribosomal RNA
Source: RNAcentral
ACGCUGGCGGCGUGCCUAACACAUGCAAGUCGAGCGGAGCCAUCUAAACAAUCCCUUCGGGGUGCGUUUGGGGAAGCUUAGCGGCGGACGGGUGAGUAACGCGUGGGUAACCUGCCUCGUACAGGGGGAUAACAGUUAGAAAUGACUGCUAAUACCGCAUAACCCGCUAGGAUCGCAUGAUCCGGACGGAAAAGAUUUAUCGGUACGAGAUGGACCCGCGUCUGAUUAGCUAGUUGGUGAGGUAACGGCCCACCAAGGCGACGAUCAGUAGCCGGCCUGAGAGGGUGAACGGCCACAUUGGGACUGAGACACGGCCCAAACUCCUACGGGAGGCAGCAGUGGGGAAUAUUGCACAAUGGGGGAAACCCUGAUGCAGCGACGCCGCGUGAGUGAAGAAGUAUUUCGGUAUGUAAAGCUCUAUCAGCAGGGAAGAAAAUGACGGUACCUGACUAAGAAGCCCCGGCUAACUACGUG